Molecule: ribosomal RNA, 253 nt
Filed under: uncultured bacterium
Lineage: Bacteria
Description: partial 16S ribosomal RNA
Rfam family: Bacterial small subunit ribosomal RNA
Source: RNAcentral
UACGUAGGGUGCGAGCGUUGUCCGGAAUUAUUGGGCGUAAAGAGCUCGUAGGCGGUCUGUCGCGUCUGCUGUGAAAUCCCGAGGCUCAACCUCGGGCCUGCAGUGGGUACGGGCAGACUAGAGUGCGGUAGGGGAGAUUGGAAUUCCUGGUGUAGCGGUGGAAUGCGCAGAUAUCAGGAGGAACACCGAUGGCGAAGGCAGAUCUCUGGGCUGUAACUGACGCUGAGGAGCGAAAGCGUGGGGAGCGAACAGG